GCCGUUAAGUCUUGACGAGUAAGAGGGUCGCGACGGUGAGCGCAGAAGGGUCAGGGCGAGAGCCUGCCUGGAGCCGCCGUUGGUGCAGAUCUUGGUGGUAGUAGCAAAUACUCUAGCGAGGGCCUGGAGGACUGACGUGGAGAAGGGUUUCUUGUGAACAGCCGUUGCACAAGAGUCAGUCGACCCUGAGCCCUAGGAGAAAUCCGAUGACGAUGGGUGGCUUGACAAUAUAUAUAUGCAAUUAUAUAUGCUGAAUAGCUCCUAUUGGGCAAAAGGGAAUCCGGUUCCUAUUCCGGAACCCGGCUGCGUAACCGCAUCUCAGCGGGCACUUGUUCGCGAGCGCUCGUCGGGGUAACCCAAACUGGCCUGGAGACGCCGGCGGGGGGUCUGGAAAGAGUUUUCUUUUCUUUAUAAGCGUUCGAGUACCCUGGAAUCCUAUAGCAGGGAGAUAGGGUUUGGAACGCGAAGAGCACCGCAGUUGCGGCGGUGUCCGGACCUUCCCCCCGGACCUUGAAAAUCCAGGUGAGGGCCACGCGGAAGUCGCGCCGG
This 549-nucleotide ribosomal RNA is filed under the name Platycorpus nadaensis. RNAcentral describes it as "eukaryotic LSU rRNA". It matches the Rfam family "Eukaryotic large subunit ribosomal RNA", at positions 1363 to 1840 of the family's 3401-position model. The record is from RNAcentral. Lineage: Eukaryota; Metazoa; Arthropoda; Insecta; Hemiptera; Delphacidae.